This 253-nucleotide ribosomal RNA is filed under the name uncultured bacterium. RNAcentral's name for it is "partial 16S ribosomal RNA". It matches the Rfam family "Bacterial small subunit ribosomal RNA", at positions 524 to 776 of the family's 1533-position model. The record is from RNAcentral.
UACGGAGGGUGCAAGCGUUAAUCGGAAUUACUGGGCGUAAAGCGUGCGCAGGCGGCUUGUUAAGUCUGCUGUGAAAUCCCCGAGCUCAACUUGGGAAUUGCAGUGGAUACUGGCAAGCUGGAGUACGGUAGAGGAAGGUGGAAUUCCCGGUGUAGCAGUGAAAUGCGUAGAGAUCGGGAGGAACACCAGUGGCGAAGGCGGCCUUCUGGACCAGUACUGACGCUCAUGCACGAAAGCGUGGGGAGCAAACAGG